RNAcentral lists this ribosomal RNA (451 nucleotides) under uncultured bacterium. RNAcentral's name for it is "partial 16S ribosomal RNA". It matches the Rfam family "Bacterial small subunit ribosomal RNA", at positions 354 to 796 of the family's 1533-position model. The record is from RNAcentral.
GUGGGGAAUAUUGGACAAUGGGCGGAAGCCUGAUCCAGCCAUGCCGCGUGUGUGAAGAAGGCCUUUUGGUUGUAAAGCACUUUAAGCGAGGAGGAGGCUCCUUUAGUUAAUACCUAAAGUGAGUGGACGUUACUCGCAGAAUAAGCACCGGCUAACUCUGUGCCAGCAGCCGCGGUAAUACAGAGGGUGCGAGCGUUAAUCGGAUUUACUGGGCGUAAAGCGUGCGUAGGCGGCUUUUUAAGUCGGAUGUGAAAUCCCUGAGCUUAACUUAGGAAUUGCAUUCGAUACUGGGAAGCUAGAGUAUGGGAGAGGAUGGUAGAAUUCCAGGUGUAGCGGUGAAAUGCGUAGAGAUCUGGAGGAAUACCGAUGGCGAAGGCAGCCAUCUGGCCUAAUACUGACGCUGAGGUACGAAAGCAUGGGGAGCAAACAGGAUUAGAUACCCCAGUAGUCC